GAUGAACGCUGGCGGCGUGCCUAAUACAUGCAAGUCGAGCGAACAGACGAGGAGCUUGCUCCUUCGACGUUAGCGGCGGACGGGUGAGUAACACGUAGGUAACCUACCUAUAAGACUGGGAUAACUUCGGGAAACCGGAGCUAAUACCGGAUAAUAUUUCGAACCGCAUGGUUCGAUAGUGAAAGAUGGCUUUGCUAUCACUUAUAGAUGGACCUGCGCCGUAUUAGCUAGUUGAUAAGGUAACGGCUUACCAAGGCAACGAUACGUAGCCGACCUGAGAGGGUGAUCGGCCACACUGGAACUGAGACACGGUCCAGACUCCUACGGGAGGCAGCAGUAGGGAAUCUUCCGCAAUGGGCGAAAGCCUGACGGAGCAACGCCGCGUGAGUGAUGAAGGUCUUCGGAUCGUAAAACUCUGUUAUUAGGGAAGAACAAACGUGUAAGUAACUGUGCACGUCUUGACGGUACCUAAUCAGAAAGCCACGGCUAACUACGUG
Molecule: ribosomal RNA, 497 nt
Filed under: uncultured bacterium
Lineage: Bacteria
Description: partial 16S ribosomal RNA
Rfam family: Bacterial small subunit ribosomal RNA
Source: RNAcentral